UAGGGAAUCUUCCGCAAUGGGCGAAAGCUUGACGGAGCAACGCCGCGUGAGUGAUGAAGGUCUUUGGAUCGUAAAACUCUGUUAUUAGGGAAGAACAAAUGUGUAAGUAACUAUGCACGUCUUGACGGUACCUAAUCAGAAAGCCACGGCUAACUACGUGCCAGCAGCCGCGGUAAUACGUAGGUGGCAAGCGUUAUCCGGAAUUAUUGGGCGUAAAGCGCGCGUAGGCGGUUUUUUAAGUCUGAUGUGAAAGCCCACGGCUCAACCGUGGAGGGUAAUUGGAAACUGGAAAACUUGAGUGCAGAAGAGGAAAGUGGAAUUCCAUGUGGAGCGGUGAAAUGCGCAGAGAUAUGGGGGAACACCAGUGGAGAAGGCGACUUUCUGGUCUGUAACUGACGCUGAUGUGCGAAAGCGUGGGGAUCAAACAGG
This 429-nucleotide ribosomal RNA is filed under the name Actinomycetes bacterium. RNAcentral describes it as "Actinobacteria bacterium partial 16S ribosomal RNA". It matches the Rfam family "Bacterial small subunit ribosomal RNA", at positions 355 to 776 of the family's 1533-position model. Lineage: Bacteria; Bacillati; Actinomycetota; Actinomycetes. The record is from RNAcentral.